Molecule: ribosomal RNA, 778 nt
Filed under: uncultured Neocallimastigales
Lineage: Eukaryota; Fungi; Neocallimastigomycota; Neocallimastigomycetes; Neocallimastigales
Description: partial large subunit ribosomal RNA
Rfam family: Eukaryotic large subunit ribosomal RNA
Source: RNAcentral
UAUGUGAUCGUCUCUCGCAUAUCAAUAAGCGGAGGAAAAGAAACUAACAAGGAUUCCCUUAGUAACGGCGAGUGAAGCGGGAAGAGCUCAAAUUUGAAAUCUUCAAGGUUUUACCUUGACGAAUUGUAGUUUAAAGAAGUGUUUUCUGUUGAAGUUUUGGUAAAAGUUCUUUGGAAUAGGACAUCAUAGAGGGUGAGAAUCCCGUAUUUGACCAUUAUUUUCAGCUGUGUGAUACACUUUCAAAGAGUCGGAUUGUUUGGGAAUGCAGUCCAAAAUGGGUGGUAAAUUUCAUCUAAAGCUAAAUAUUGGCGAGAGACCGAUAGCGAACAAGUACCGUGAGGGAAAGAUGAAAAGAACUUUGAGAAGAGAGUUAAACAGUACGUGAAAUUGUCAAAAGGGAAGCGUUUGACACCAGUGUUGUUUUCUCGAAGAUCAAUUAAAAAAGGCGUGAUUUUGUGUUGUAUUGACCUUAAUCAGCUUUCUGCACUCCUUUCUUGUCUUUUUUUAAUGCACUUUUCGUUUAACAAGUCAACAUCAGUUUCUUUUGUCGUAAAAGGGUCAUUGGAAGGUGGCUUUCUUUUCGGAGAAAGUGUUUAGUAGCCUUUGGCCUCUGCAAUCGGAGAGAUUGAGGUCUGCAGCGUAGAUCCUUCGGGGUUAGAUACAUUUGUGCUAAGUUAUAGCCUUUUCAUAGACAACUUGUUGACUAUGAUCAGUCAUGUAGCUUACUCGCUUAUGCUAUUUUACCUACGCUUAGGAUGUUGACGAUCAGCUGAGCGCG